GUGCUUGCUUUGGCAGCACAUAUACUAAAAUUGGAACCAUACAGAGAAGAUUAGCACGAACUCUGCACAAGGAUGACACACAAAUUCGUGAAGUAUUCCAUGUUUCU
Molecule: small nuclear RNA, 107 nt
Organism: Rhinopithecus bieti (black snub-nosed monkey)
Lineage: Eukaryota; Metazoa; Chordata; Mammalia; Primates; Cercopithecidae
Source: Ensembl